AGCACGGGAUUACUGAUUUAGUGUCGCCUUACUUCUUAAAGCACAAAAUAGCACGGCUACACAACCUUGCUUUGAGCAAAGUGAGCAUAACAGCUACCCGCUACCCAUUAAGCGUAGUUAUGAAGGAAAAAGGACAACCUAACCAUAAUUGCAUAAUGAAUUAUUUUCCAGCAGAAACAACAUCAUGUUGGCCAACCUGAAAGAAAGGACUCACCUUUAAUGAAGAAGGAAGCCGAACACACUCACAUUAUAACAGCAACAGGAGAAUUUCCAAGAAUUUCUGGACUACAAAAAUUCAUAGAAACUCCAUUAUGUGGGACAAACUCACAAUUGGCGAGCUUGGUGAGCAAUUACACAGGGACACGAUUAAGCAAGCAGACUUAAGACCUGAUUCUAACAAUUGCCAACUGUGAAAUAAUACAAUUAGUGAGUGAAAUAUUACAUGCUAAGCAAGCCAACUCAAGAAACUGAUUCUAACCAAUUACCUUUAGACAAGUAGUCUAAAUUUCAUGUGACAUGUGGUGUUCAUUGAAUAACUGAUAAAAACAGAGGAAACAAUAGAAGAUGGUAAGAAAUAAUUUUAUGUUGCAGAAAUGAGAAUACUUAAUGAAGCAUUGGGGCAUAAGAAUAGAUAAAUGAGUCCUUAGUUAACUCUUUAGCAAGAUCUGCACAUCAAUCCAAAAGUAAGAGCUGUCUAUUGCUGAUCACUUGCUACACCGAUGAAACAUUCAUCCGAAUAUUAUCACUCACUAACCGGCAAAUUGGCACACACAAAACACACAUCAUGCAUGAGGUAAUGGCUCUAUAGGCAUCGACAACAUCACCGAUCCAUACCUGCGCACGAAUUGAUGAACAAAGGUGAGGGCACACAUGGCUAGCAUGGCAGGAGGAAGCAUUGGCAGGGAAGGCAAGAGCUG
Molecule: long non-coding RNA, 917 nt
Filed under: Triticum aestivum (bread wheat)
Lineage: Eukaryota; Viridiplantae; Streptophyta; Magnoliopsida; Poales; Poaceae
Description: long non-coding RNA (TAES_LNC022150)
Source: RNAcentral